This 440-nucleotide ribosomal RNA is filed under the name uncultured bacterium. RNAcentral's name for it is "partial 16S ribosomal RNA". It matches the Rfam family "Bacterial small subunit ribosomal RNA", at positions 338 to 795 of the family's 1533-position model. The record is from RNAcentral.
CCUACGGGAGGCAGCAGUGGGGGAUAUUGCACAAUGGGGGGAACUCUGAUGCAGCGACGCCGCGUGGGCGAUGGAGUGCUUCGGCAUGUAAAGCCCUAUCAUCAGGGAAGAAAAUGACGGUACCUGACUAAGAAGCCCCGGUUAAAUAAGUGCCAGCAGCCACGGGAAUACGUAAGGGGCAAGCGGUAUCCAGAUUUACUGGGUGGAAAGGGAGCGUAGGCGGCCUGGGAAGCCUGGUGUGAAAUACCGGGGCGCAACCCCGGGGCUGCAUUGGGAACUGGCAGGCUGGAGUGCCGGAGAGGCAAGCGGAAUUCCUAGUGUAGCGGUGAAAUGCGUAGAUAUUAGGAGGAACACCAGUGGCGAAGGCGGCCUGCUGGACGGUGACUGACGCUGAGGCUCGAAAGCGUGGGGAGCAAACAGGAUUAGAUACCCCGGUAGUC